This 565-nucleotide ribosomal RNA is filed under the name bacterium T-2-48-7F. Its description in RNAcentral is "bacterial SSU rRNA". It matches the Rfam family "Bacterial small subunit ribosomal RNA", at positions 371 to 946 of the family's 1533-position model. The record is from RNAcentral.
AUGGGCGAAAGCCUGAUGCAGCGACGCCGCGUGAGGGAUGACGGCCUUCGGGUUGUAAACCUCUUUCAGUAGGGAAGAAGCGUAAGUGACGGUACCUGCAGAAGAAGCGCCGGCUAACUACGUGCCAGCAGCCGCGGUAAUACGUAGGGCGCAAGCGUUAUCCGGAUUUAUUGGGCGUAAAGAGCUCGUAGGCGGUUUGUCGCGUCUGCCGUGAAAGACCAGGGCUCAACCCUGGUUCUGCGGUGGGUACGGGCAGACUAGAGUGAUGUAGGGGAGACUGGAAUUCCUGGUGUAGCGGUGAAAUGCGCAGAUAUCAGGAGGAACACCGAUGGCGAAGGCAGGUCUCUGGGCAUUUACUGACGCUGAGGAGCGAAAGCAUGGGGAGCGAACAGGAUUAGAUACCCUGGUAGUCCAUGCCGUAAACGUCGGGCACUAGGUGUGGGGGACAUUCCACGUCUUCCGCGCCGUAGCUAACGCAUNAAGUGCCCCGCCUGGGGAGUACGGCCGCAAGGCUAAAACUCAAAGGAAUNGACGGNGGCCCGCACAAGCGGCGGAGCAUGCGGAU